This 501-nucleotide ribosomal RNA is filed under the name Triticum aestivum (bread wheat). RNAcentral's name for it is "partial small subunit ribosomal RNA". Lineage: Eukaryota; Viridiplantae; Streptophyta; Magnoliopsida; Poales; Poaceae. The record is from RNAcentral.
AUGGAGGAGGACGAGCACAACCUGGAUGAGGUCGCCGUGGGAGACCAUAGGCGAGAGGAAGGAGCCGUCGCUGGUUCCGCGCCCUCGCCCCGAGAGUGGCAGCCUUGCAGGAAAGAGACUCUUGAAGAGAUUUUUCAGAAAUUCUUUGGUGGUGGUGGCACUAUUGUAUGUGGACCGACUAUUGUGGCUUACUGGCUUGUGUUCCAGUUGCCACUGCUCAACAAGGAGAAGAAUGGUAGUUCACCACGUACACGUAAAUGCCUCAUGUGUGGCUCUUUCAAUGCAUUGCUGCUCUCAUCGCAUUUCACCAUUCUUCAUGCUCACACUAUGCAGAAGAUUCUUCCUGUUGGCAUGGGGCUUGAGAGAGAGGAAGAGAUACAUGUCGGCCUCUAUGCACAUUGCGCACAAGGGUUGCUGGUUAGAGAGAAAGAUUUUGAUGUGAAUUUUUGGAUAAAAUCCCUGAUUUCUCUUACUUGGAUUAUGCUGAAUCGGAUUUUUUAA